Long non-coding RNA from Macaca fascicularis (crab-eating macaque), 1664 nucleotides. The record is from Ensembl. NCBI's taxonomy places the organism in Eukaryota, Metazoa, Chordata, Mammalia, Primates, Cercopithecidae.
UUUUUUUUUUUUUUCUUCCUAGUAUAGUGCUUCUUCCCCAAUAAGAAGGCAUGAUUCUGAGUGCAGGGGUCUGGCUAUUAUCUCCCCAACAUAUAAUGCCUUGUUUUGUACAUAGUAGAUGCUCACUAAAUACUUAUGGAAAACAGCACUACACAUGUCUUGGCUAAAGUGAUGAGGGAAAUGAAGUAAGAUAGAAUGAGAAUAGAGGAUUCUCUCUUUACUUCAGAAAAGUCUUAUUGGAAUUACUUCAAAUUUCUGCUGCCUUUUGCAAUGACAUGGAGGGCAGAACGGCAGCCAAUAUUCCUCUGAAUGAAAACUCAGACACCGCGUAGACUAGCCCCUUCUAGGUUUUUUGAUGAUCAUUAGGUAUCUCCUGGUCUGGUCCUUUUUGCUUGAGGAGUUGACCACCUUUCCUGAAAUUAUUAUUCUUUUUCUCUUCUAUUACGCUUGUCUGAUGUGGCACUUGUAUUUUAAUGCCUUACAGAUAAAAUGGUCUCCGUCAGUCUGCACUUCUCAUGCCUGGAGAAAGUUUUAUUACUUCAUAAACUUCUGUAAUGCCCCAGUGUUUAAAAAAGAUCUAUCACUCUAUCAGUGGGUCUUUAUGGGCUCAGUGUACAUUUUUGUUUUUGUUUUUGUUUUUAUAAUGCAAGGUUGGUUCCUGAAGCAAAAAAAGAGACAGGAAUAAAUGGAUUUUUGUAUGUUAACAAAUGUCAAGAAUCCAGCUCAAUUUAUACUGAGGUGGUAUUAAAUAGCUAAAUCAAAUUGUAGAAUAUUUCACAGGCAAUAGCAUUAAGCACUGGGAAGGAACUGUAAUAUAAGAUUUCCUCUUUAUCAGUGAUUACGGAAAUAUAACUCUCUUAUUCACUGGCUUGUGCUGGAGAAUCUUUAUAGUUGCUGUGUGUUGAUUUUUUUCCCUCCUGACAGAUGCUCAGAGGCCCCAUGCCUGAUGAGUCAGUGGACAGGGAACAUUGAACAUGACCCGCUUCUGCCACCCGUUCCACACCAAACAACUCUGUGUGGCCUACAAAAUCCUUUAAAGGCAUGUUUUCAAGAUGUAAGCUGAAGGAAGACAUGUCAGAUUUCAGGCAUGAAAUUUCUCUCUCUAAUCUGUUUUAGGACUGUGUUAGCCACAAGCUGAAGAUUUCUGUCAAGGAUGUUUCUGCAAGCGUGCAUGCAUGUAUGUGUGUGUGUGUAUGUGUGUGAUUAUGCAUAUAGGAACAUGUGUGCACUGGGGAUGUCUGUAUGUAUGCAGGUGAUCCCAAAUGGCCUGGCGAAAAGGUAUCUUAUCCAUAGUGUGGGAGGUCCCAAGUUGCUGCUUCUCUCUGAGAAGCUGCUGAGUUGCCACCUGCGUGGCUGUGAGUGUGGGCAGCAAUUCAGUCUCCUAUCAUUCCAGGCAUCUGCAGGGAGAAUAAGAAAACCAUCACCUGUCCUGUGGCCAGGAAGGUGGGAAUAGCUUGAUUACCUGUUGGUGGUACUCAUACCAAAUAAACAUGUAACUGCCACUUCACUCCCGAUUUCUCUACGAUAGUACAUGGAAACCUUAUUUUCAGAAGCUUUCAGUGAGUAAAUGAGCAUCUGUUUCUGCACUGCUGAACAAUUUGCCGUGUUUUGUUCAGAAAGUAUUUACUAAGUAGUUUAUUUAUGCUCUAUGCUUUGAUAACAGC